This 460-nucleotide ribosomal RNA is filed under the name uncultured bacterium. RNAcentral's name for it is "partial 16S ribosomal RNA". It matches the Rfam family "Bacterial small subunit ribosomal RNA", at positions 338 to 795 of the family's 1533-position model. The record is from RNAcentral.
CCUACGGGUGGCAGCAGUGAGGAAUAUUGGUCAAUGGACGAGAGUCUGAACCAGCCAAGUAGCGUGAAGGAUGACUGCCCUAUGGGUUGUAAACUUCUUUUAUAUGGGAAUAAAGUGUUCCACGUGUGGCAUUUUGUAUGUACCAUAUGAAUAAGGAUCGGCUAACUCCGUGCCAGCAGCCGCGGUAAUACGGAGGGUCCGAGCGUUAUCCGGAUUUAUUGGGUUUAAAGGGAGCGUAGGUGGUUUGUUAAGUCAGUUGUGAAAGUUUGGGGCUCAACCGUAAAAGUGCAGUUGAAACUGGCAGUCUUGAGUACAGUAGAGGUGGGCGGAAUUCGUGGUGUAGCGGUGAAAUGCUUAGAUAUCACGAAGAACUCCGAUUGCGAAGGCAGCUCACUGGACUGCAACUGACACUGAGGCACGAAAGUGUGGGUAUCAAACAGGAUUAGAUACCCCUGUAGUC